RNAcentral lists this ribosomal RNA (397 nucleotides) under uncultured bacterium. RNAcentral's name for it is "bacterial SSU rRNA". It matches the Rfam family "Bacterial small subunit ribosomal RNA", at positions 28 to 429 of the family's 1533-position model. The record is from RNAcentral.
GACGAACGCUGGCGGCGUGCUUAACACAUGCAAGUCGAGCGGUAAGGCCCUUUCGGGGGUACGACGAGCGGCGAACGGGUGAGUAACACGUGGGUGACCUGCCCUCAGCUCUGGGAUAAGCCUGGGAAACCGGGUCUAAUACCGGAUAUGACUCCAUGACGCAUGUUGUGGGGUGGAAAGCCUUGUGCGGCUGAGGAUGGGCCCGCGGCCUAUCAGCUUGUUGGUGGGGGUGAUGGCCUACCAAGGCGACGACGGGUAGCCGGCCUGAGAGGGCGACCGGCCACACUGGGACUGAGACACGGCCCAGACUCCUACGGGAGGCAGCAGUGGGGAAUCUUGCGCAAUGGGCGAAAGCCUGACGCAGCGACGCCGCGUGAGGGAUGACGGCCUGUGUAAC